GGCAACAUGGCCGAGCGGUCUAUGGCGCUAGCUUCAGGUGCUAGUAUCGAAAGAUGCGUGGGUUCGAAUCCCACUGUUGUCA
Molecule: transfer RNA, 82 nt
Filed under: Delitschia confertaspora ATCC 74209
Lineage: Eukaryota; Fungi; Ascomycota; Dothideomycetes; Pleosporales; Delitschiaceae
Rfam family: tRNA
About the family: Transfer RNA (tRNA) molecules are approximately 80 nucleotides in length.
Source: Rfam by way of RNAcentral